Molecule: ribosomal RNA, 452 nt
Filed under: uncultured Caulobacter sp.
Lineage: Bacteria; Pseudomonadati; Pseudomonadota; Alphaproteobacteria; Caulobacterales; Caulobacteraceae
Description: bacterial SSU rRNA
Rfam family: Bacterial small subunit ribosomal RNA
Source: RNAcentral
AUUAGUGGCGGACGGGUGAGUAACACGUGGGAACGUGCCUUUUGGUUCGGAACAACUCAGGGAAACUUGAGCUAAUACCGGAUAAGCCUUUCGAGGGAAAGAUUUAUCGCCAUUAGAGCGGCCCGCGUAGGAUUAGCUAGUUGGUGGGGUAAAGGCCCACCAAGGCUACGAUCCUUAGCUGGUCUGAGAGGAUGAUCAGCCACAUUGGGACUGAGACACGGCCCAAACUCCUACGGGAGGCAGCAGUGGGGAAUCUUGCGCAAUGGGCGAAAGCCUGACGCAGCCAUGCCGCGUGAAUGAUGAAGGUCUUAGGAUUGUAAAAUUCUUUCACCGGGGACGAUGAUGACGGUACCCGGAGAAGAAGCCCCGGCUAACUUCGUGCCAGCAGCCGCGGUAAUACGAAGGGGGCUAGCGUUGCUCGGAAUUACUGGGCGUAAAGGGAGCGUAGGCGG